This 5589-nucleotide long non-coding RNA is filed under the name Sus scrofa (pig). Its description in RNAcentral is "lncRNA (ENSSSCG00060028387.1)". Lineage: Eukaryota; Metazoa; Chordata; Mammalia; Artiodactyla; Suidae. The record is from RNAcentral.
CAGUCCGGAGAGUUCUUUACUCAAAGUAGAGUGAACACCAGGGGUGGGGAAGGGGCAACCCUGUCCCAACCAACAGAGCUUCUGGAAGUUUGUGUAGGGAGUGUGGCAGGACCAACAAGGGCGAUGUCAGCAGAUGUGUGAAAGUCUUCACUCGGGACCACAUUUGCUCAUAAGUCGUAUAGAGAUGCGUACUUGGUUCUAGUUGAAUAAACGCAUCAUAAAACACACCCAAGGAUCAGACCUUAAAAAUGGAGACCAAACAUAAAGGUAAACAGAAGUUUUAAUAUUUUCUGCUUGCACCCCAGGAGAUCCUUGUUUUAAAACCCCUGGAGCACCACUUCGUUUGGAAAACAAUCUGCUGGGCCCUGCCUCUGUGAGAAUCCCUCAUGUGUCUUAAAAUGCAUGUUCUGGAGUUCCCGUCGUGGCUUGGUGGGUUAAGGAUCCAGCAGCUGCCACAAGCUGCAAUGUAGGUCGAAGCUGUGGCUCGGAUCCAGUGUUGCCUGUGGCUGUGGCAUAGGCCACAGCUGGAGCUCCGAUUGGACCCCUAGCCCUGGGAACUCCCAUAUGCCACAGGUGUGGCCCUAAAAAUGGAAAACAUAAGUAAAUAAAAUGCAUAUUCUGAUUCAGUAGGUCUUGGAAGGGGACCCAAGAGUCUAACAAACUCCCCAGGGAUUUGGGUACUGUUGGUCCAGGACCACUUUUAGGACAGGAAGGCCCAUCGUCAGUGACAGGUGAAACAAUGAUGCCUUGGGGAGCAGUAGUGAAAACCAAGGAAAUAUGUUUUGGCACCAGUUAUAUAACUGCCCUGAGCUGUCAACCUGACAAUAGUAAUUAUCACACCCAUUUUACAGAUGUAAACCUUGAACUUCAAUGGGUUGAAGACAUUUCCCUGAAUUCAGAGGGCAGAUAAGUGCACAAUUACCAAUAUGAACCCAGGUCUGUUUUCACACAGAAGAUAAAUACAUGUUUACUGUAGAAAACUUAGGAGAACAUAUAGGCAAAAAUGAAACUUUUCUGUAUUUCCACCACCCUAAAAUAACUGCUACCAACAUCUUGCUUUCAUUUUACUUUGUUUUUACAAAACCUUGGGGUUUUUUUUUUUUCUUGUAUGACCUACCGGUCUGGGUUUGAAACUUGGCUGCAUCCUAGCAAGUCGCCAAAAUUUCUGUGCCUCAGUUUCGUCAUCUGUAAAAUGGGGAACAGCAAUAGGACCGACAUUGAUGUCUGUGGGGAUAAAACGAGCGGGAGGUGCCUGGACGAUUCCCUAGCAGAUAUACCUGCAGCAUGUGGAAGUUCCCAGGCUAGGAGUCCAAUAGGAGCUGCAGCUGCCGGCCUACACCACGGCUACAGCAACGUGGGAUCUGAGCUGUGUCUGCAGCCCACACCACACCUCACAGCCACGCGGGAUCCUCCACCCACUGAGCGAGGCCAGGGAUGGAACCUGAAUCCUCUCGGAUACUAGUCAGAUUCGUUUCCGCAGUGCCACAGUGGGAACUCCCUGGGAUCUGCAUUGUGAAUGAGCUCCCCCCGGGGGUUAUGUGACCAAUGGCCUAGGAGCCCAUUCAGAGAAAACCUGCGGAUUCCCGCAUCAGUGCUCCUGUCUAAAGACCUGAAUGUGGCUUUGCCAUUGUCUUGGACUCCUCCCUACACGCCUGCCCCGCUAAUAAGAAGCCUGGAUGCUAAGGUUUAAGGAUCACAGUAUCAUUAUUUUGCUAUUUAUCUUAGGCAGGUGGUUUUUGUUUUUUUGUUUGUUUUUUUGGUCUUUUUGCUAUUUCUAAGGCUGCUCCCGUGGCAUAUGGAGGUUCCCAGGCUAGGGGUCUAAUCGGAGCUGUAGCCACCAGCCUACGCCAGAGCCACAGCAACGCCAGAUCCGAGCCACGUCUGCAACUUACACCACAGCUCAUGGCAACGCCAGAUCGUUAACCCACUGAGCAAGGGCAGGGACCGAACCCGCAACCUCAUGGUUCCUAGUCGGAUUUGUUAACCACUGCGCCACGAUGGGAACUCCAUUAGGCAGGUGUUUUGAAUUCACCUGGCCUAAGCAUCUUGCGUGUUAGAGCAGCCAAGCUCUGACUCAGGGCAGCUGUCUCCCAGAGCCAUCCCCUCACAGCCCCUCUCCCACCUCUCUUCCAGGAUGAACAGGGUGCGGGGUAGUGUGGGCGCCAGGCGCUUCUGGGGAGCUCACCCUGCCCACCAGCCAGGAAGGCCAGUGCGCCCAGCUGAGAGAGGGCAGCCUGGCGCCUGUUCCAUGUGGUAUCUCUGCACCUCACCCAGGGCUGGGAACACAAUAGGAACUCAGUAAGUGCUUGCUGAGUAGAUGAAAACCGGAUUGCAUUAAAUAACUGGAGGAAACCAAAUUUCCUUUCACAAAAAUGACCUAGGUGUGUUGAACAAAAUUAACCCACUACACACUUUUUGUAUUAGAAUGGGAGUCGGAAACCACUGCCCUGAGAUAUUUUCCAGAAGCUGGAACAGAUUAGCAUAGGCUCUGUGACCCAACAAGGAGGAAUACUUACCGAAAGACUAAUGAAGGGGGAUCACAUAUCUGGCACACAGCAGGGGCCCCAUCAAAUGUUGUUUCCCAUCCCCCUUUCUCUUCCCCCCAAAGAUUCAGAAGAUUAGGAAUCCCAAUGGUGAUGGGCUCACUGAAACAGGUUUACUGACAGAUGAGACCACCAAAGCCCAGAGAGGUUAAGGCGCAUGCCCAAAGUCACACAGCGAAGUUUUUUUUUUUUCUUUUUGGUUUUUGUUGUUGUUGUUGCUAUUUCUUGGGCCGCUCCUGCGGCAUAUGGAGGUUCCCAGGCUAGGGGUCGAAUCGGAGCUGUAGCCACCGGCCUACGCCAGAGCCACAGCAACGCGGGAUCCGAGCCGCGUCUGCAACCUACACCACAGCUCACGGCAACACCGGAUCGUUAACCCACUGAGCAAGGGCAGGGACCGAACCCGCAACCUCAUGGUUCCUAGUCGGAUUCGUUAACCACUGCACCAGGAUGGGAACUCCUGACUCCAGAGUUUUUUUCUCCUUUCCUUUAAUCGAAGUUGCCAGAAGUUGACUCCCUAACGGUUUGCAUCAAAAUCACACUUAUGAGCUUGUAAAAUGCCCAGUCAAGGGUUCCCCCCUGUGGAAUCAGGCCUUUUUGGCGUGGGGGGCUAAGAACCUAUAUUUUCAACAAAACAGGCACGGAAGUCAUGACCAUUAAAAUUCAAGCCAAUGUUCUGUCUUAUUAACUAAGGAGAUCCCUAAAUUCAUCUCAGAGAGGACGGGACUCUGAACCCUGCCCAAUCAUUAUUUUUAUUUUUAUUUUUUUAAACUUUUUAAGUAGCGGCAGCAAAUGCCUCAUUGAAACCCAUCAAGAGUUGCUGGUGGCAUGAGUGAGCGCAUCCUUGCCUAAGGCCUCCCCUCGAUCUGAAUGUCACCAUCCAGGUGGCUAUUGCUCCUUCUCCCUCUGCUUUUUUCUUUUUCUUUUUUUCUUUUAUGGCCUCACCUGAGGCAUAUAGACAUUCUCAGACUAGGGGUCAAAUCAGAGCGGCAGCUGCAGGCCUACACCACAGCCACAGCAACGCCAUAUCCGAGCCGCAUCUGUGAACUACGCCUCAGCGUGUGGCAACACCGGAUCCUUAACCCACUGAGGGAGGCCAGAGAUCGAACCCACAUCCUCACGGACACUAUGUUGUGUUCUUAACCACUGAGCCUCCAAGGAACUCCUUUCUCCCUCUUACCCAAGAGCAAAGGGGUGACUUUAAAAAGGCAGCCAGAAACAACAAGAAUUGGCUCUUGCAAGGCUCCAAGGAGGCCUGCCAGAUUCCUUAAAUUCAGACCCUGGAGUUGUUCACUGUCAGGACGGGUUCUGCCAGGGAGCCGGGGGCGUGGAUUAAAACGUGCAUUUUUAAGAGGGUAAACUGGAAGCGGGAGUCCCCGGUGAGCUGGCCUCGGGAAGGAAGCUGUGUACCAGAGAUGCUGCAGACAAGAGUGUGCUCAGGAUAACAGAGGCAAGGAUGCGACGCUCCCUGGGCUCCUCGGCAAUAUGCCUUCACCCGCAGUUUAGCUAACAGCGUGUCUCUGGGGCCACUGUUGCUAUCAAAUUUAUGCCUUAUGAAAUGUCAAAAGGGAAGCACUGCUUCUCCAAUACAGCGAGAAAUUUCUUCCUUUCUUCUAUUUUUUUUUUUUCCCCAUGUAAUGCCCUCCUGGAGGAUUUUUUGCAACCCUGGAUAAAUAUUUCUCUGUCAACUCAAACGGAGAAGAGCUUAUAGCGUCUCGAGAAGGGCGCUGUUGCCUCUUUACGAGGCUGUUCUGCAAAGCAGAUGAGUCGGGCAACAGGGUGUGUGCCCAGCGCUGAGCAUUUGUGUCCAUGGUGGAAUCACAGAUGCUUCCCUGGUUCAGUUACCUGGAGAAGAAAGAGAAUGCAUUGUGGUUAUUAAGCAGGCAGAGCUUUUGCUUUUCUUUUUUCUUUUCUUUCUUUUUUUUUUUUUGGCAUAGUGCUGGGCAGCCUGACCACAGAGACAAACAAGAGGGGGCUCUAAAAGCUUCGAAGUCAAAAUCCAUUCUUCCCAGGCCACACCUCCUCCAGGAAGCCUACCAGGACUCCUGCAGCCCCAUGGGUACUUCCUUAAGGAAACGAACAUGUCCUGAGCGCCAGCCUUCCACCAGGCACCUUAUAGACAUGAUCUUGUUUAUUCCUUCAUGCAACUCCGUGAAGUGUGGCCUAUUAAACUCUUUCUCUCUCUCUCUCUCUCUUUUUUUUUUUUGCUUUUUAGGGCUACACCUAUGGUACAUGAAAGUUCCCAGGCUAGAGACUGAGUCAGAGCUGCAGCUGCCGGCCUACAACACAGUCAUAGCCACAGCCACAGCCACGUGGGAUCUGAGCCACGUCUGCAACCUACAGCACGGCUCACGGCCCAUCCCAGAUCCUUAACCCACUGAGUGAGGCCAGAGAUCAAACCCAAGUCCUCACGGAUACAAAUCAGGUUUGUCACUGCUGAGCCAUGAUGGGAACCUCUAAAUUCAUUUUAUAAGUGAGGGACCUGAAGCUCUGAGUUUAGGCUGAGGAGUUAAACAGACCUGGAGAGAAAUCUCACCUCCCCAGUUGUUCUGCUGGGUGACCUCGGGCAGGUUGCUGAGCUUCUCUGAGCGUGACAGCCUCAUCUAGAAAACAAGGAUGGUUCUGUACUUUUCAGAUUCAUGAGGCUUAGUGAUGGCCAUGAUAGAGACAUAGGGCUCAGUGCACAGUAGGCACUUAAUAAAAUUGUAGCUGAUGCUCUCAUUAGGAUUACUAUAGAAAUCUACGAAGGUAGAGAGAGGUAGAGCAGGAAUUCGAACCCAGGUCUGGGUGCCUUCAACAUUCAUAGACUUUUCUGGACGCGCCUUGAUGUUUGCCUCUGUGGAGGUUUAUCCUCUUAGGUUUUCGUGUUGAUGUGUUUCCUGCCCAGUCUCUCUGAGGACAGGGCUGUACCACAGACCUCCUUGCCAUCUGCCACACUGCUGGGCAUCCAGGAGACGUGCAGGAGGAGAGAGUUGAAGCACAGCCCUCCCAGGCUAGUGUUGGUUUUCUAGUUUGUCCUCUUCCAGGCACUGGCUUCAAGGUAGUGAAU